UAGGGAAUAUUGGGCAAUGGGCGGAAGCCUGACCCAGCCAUGCCGCGUGCAGGAUGAAGGCCUUCUGGGUUGUAAACUGCUUUUACAGGGGAAGAAAACGCCCAUGCGUGGGAAACUGACGGUACCCUGGGAAUAAGCACCGGCUAACUCCGUGCCAGCAGCCGCGGUAAUACGGAGGGUGCAAGCGUUGUCCGGAUUUAUUGGGUUUAAAGGGUGCGUAGGCGGCCCAUUAAGUCAGCGGUGAAAGCCCGGGGCUCAACCCCGGAACCGCCGUUGAUACUGGUGGGCUUGAGUAUGGACGAGGUUGGCGGAAUUGAGGGUGUAGCGGUGAAAUGCUUAGAUACCCUCAAGAACACCGAUUGCGUAGGCAGCUAACUAGGCCAUA
This 385-nucleotide ribosomal RNA is filed under the name uncultured bacterium. RNAcentral's name for it is "bacterial SSU rRNA". It matches the Rfam family "Bacterial small subunit ribosomal RNA", at positions 355 to 738 of the family's 1533-position model. The record is from RNAcentral.